GAUGAACGCUAGCGGCAGGCUUAACACAUGCAAGUCGAGGGGUAACAGGGAGCUUGCUUCGCUGACGACCGGCGCACGGGUGCGUAACGCGUAUACAAUCUACCUUUUGCUACGGGAUAGCCCGGAGAAAUUUGGAUUAACACCGUAUAGUAUGUAAGAUUCGCAUGAAUUUUAUAUUAAAGGUUACGGCAAAAGAUGAGUAUGCGUUCUAUUAGCUAGAUGGUGUGGUAACGGCAUACCAUGGCAACGAUAGAUAGGGGCCCUGAGAGGGGGAUCCCCCACACUGGUACUGAGACACGGACCAGACUCCUACGGGAGGCAGCAGUGAGGAAUAUUGGACAAUGGGCGAGAGCCUGAUCCAGCCAUGCCGCGUGCAGGAAGACUGCCCUAUGGGUUGUAAACUGCUUUUAUACAGGAAGAAACACCUCUACGUGUAGAGGCUUGACGGUACUGUAAGAAUAAGGAUCGGCUAACUCCGUGCCAGCAGCCGCGGUAAUACGGAGGAUCCAAGCGUUAUCCGGAAUCAUUGGGUUUAAAGGGUCCGUAGGUGGAUAAUUAAGUCAGAGGUGAAAUCCUGCAGCUCAACUGUAGAAUUGCCUUUGAUACUG
This 608-nucleotide ribosomal RNA is filed under the name uncultured bacterium. RNAcentral's name for it is "bacterial SSU rRNA". It matches the Rfam family "Bacterial small subunit ribosomal RNA", at positions 28 to 635 of the family's 1533-position model. The record is from RNAcentral.